This 509-nucleotide ribosomal RNA is filed under the name uncultured bacterium. Its description in RNAcentral is "partial 16S ribosomal RNA". The stretch from base 20 to 328 matches the Rfam family "Bacterial small subunit ribosomal RNA", at positions 47 to 358 of the family's 1533-position model. The record is from RNAcentral.
GACGAACGCUGGCGGCGUGCUUAACACAUGCAAGUCGAACGGAAAGGCCCUGCUUUUGUGGGGUGCUCGAGUGGCGAACGGGUGAGUAACACGUGAGUAACCUGCCCUUGACUUUGGGAUAACUUCAGGAAACUGGGGCUAAUACCGGAUAGGAGCUCCUGCUGCAUGGUGGGGGUUGGAAAGUUUCGGCGGUUGGGGAUGGACUCGCGGCUUAUCAGCUUGUUGGUGGGGUAGUGGCUUACCAAGGCUUUGACGGGUAGCCGGCCUGAGAGGGUGACCGGCACGAGGGGGACGGGGGACCGGCGCAGAAGCGGAGAGGAGGAGGGGGUGGGAGAGAUAGAAGGGUGGGGGGACGACGGGGGCGGCAAGGGCGGGGGGGGGAUGUGGGGGUGGGGGUUGAAACCCGCUGUGGCGGGUGAGGAGGCGUGGGGGAGGGGAGGGGGGAAAGAAGCACCGGCAAACUACGGGCCAGCGGCCGCGUGAAUAAGCGGAAGGGCACACGUCGGAAC